AAUUGACCGUGUCAAGGUAGCAUAAUCAAUUGUCUUUUAAUUAAAGGCUUGUAUGAAUGGUUGGAUGAGAUAUAAACUAUUUAUAUUUUAUUAAAUAAUGAAUUUUAAUUUUUAGUAAAAAUGCUAAAAUAAAUAAAGAAGACGAGAAGACCCUAUAAAUCUUUAUUUUUAAGUUUUAUAAAAUUAUUUAAGAAAAAUUAGUGUAAUUUAAUUUAAAAAUUUUAUUGGGGCGAUAAUAAAAUUUAAUAAACUUUUAUUUUCUUUUAUAAAUAUAAUUAAUUUAAUUGAUCUUUUAUUAUUGAUUAAAAAAUUAAGUUACUUUAGGGAUAACAGCGUAAUUAUUUUAAGGAGUUCUUAUCGAUAAAAUAGUUUGCGACCUCGAUGUUGAAUUAAGAGUAAUAUGAGGUGUAGG
This 412-nucleotide ribosomal RNA is filed under the name Culicoides gulbenkiani. Its description in RNAcentral is "partial 16S ribosomal RNA". The record is from RNAcentral. Lineage: Eukaryota; Metazoa; Arthropoda; Insecta; Diptera; Ceratopogonidae.